GAUGAACGCUGGCGGCGUGCCUAAUACAUGCAAGUCGAGCGAACGGACGAGAAGCUUGCUUUUCUGAUGUUAGCGGCGGACGGGUGAGUAACACGUGGAUAACCUACCUAUAAGACUGGGAUAACUUCGGGAAACCGGAGCUAAUACCGGAUAAUAUUUUGAACCGCAUGGUUCAAAAGUGAAAGACGGUCUUGCUGUCACUUAUAGAUGGAUCCGCGCUGCAUUAGCUAGUUGGUAAGGUAACGGCUUACCAAGGCAACGAUGCAUAGCCGACCUGAGAGGGUGAUCGGCCACACUGGAACUGAGACACGGUCCAGACUCCUACGGGAGGCAGCAGUAGGGAAUCUUCCGCAAUGGGCGAAAGCCUGACGGAGCAACGCCGCGUGAGUGAUGAAGGUCUUCGGAUCGUAAAACUCUGUUAUUAGGGAAGAACAUAUGUGUAAGAAACUGUGCACAUCUUGACGGUACCUAAUCAGAAAGCCACGGCUAACUACGUG
RNAcentral lists this ribosomal RNA (497 nucleotides) under uncultured bacterium. RNAcentral describes it as "partial 16S ribosomal RNA". It matches the Rfam family "Bacterial small subunit ribosomal RNA", at positions 28 to 507 of the family's 1533-position model. The record is from RNAcentral.